CUGGAUAACUGUCGUUUGAUCCCCAGAUCUUUUAGGAUUAAGAAAGUCGGCGUAAUGCCAAAUAAGUCGUUGUUCGAAUACCAUCCAGAUGUCAAACAUUGUUGGCUAGUUGUGGAUUGAAUGUCAAACUAAGUUGGUCAAAUUUUGACUUGGUCAUACUCUGCAAUUUUAGUCGGCUCAAUUCAUAAUGUCAUGUACUUAAUCGGGAGGAAGACGAGGAUAAAAGAUGGUCAUUGCACACUUAGUCAGAUGGGA
RNAcentral lists this long non-coding RNA (255 nucleotides) under Elaeis guineensis (African oil palm). Its description in RNAcentral is "long non-coding RNA (EGUI_LNC030665)". The record is from RNAcentral. Lineage: Eukaryota; Viridiplantae; Streptophyta; Magnoliopsida; Arecales; Arecaceae.